This 340-nucleotide ribosomal RNA is filed under the name uncultured Pseudomonadota bacterium. Its description in RNAcentral is "bacterial SSU rRNA". It matches the Rfam family "Bacterial small subunit ribosomal RNA", at positions 29 to 351 of the family's 1533-position model. The record is from RNAcentral. Lineage: Bacteria; Pseudomonadati; Pseudomonadota.
AAUGAACGCUGGCGGCGUGCCUAACACAUGCAAGUCGAACGAGAAAGCCUGGUUUCGGCUGGGCGAGUAAAGUGGCGCACGGGUGAGUAACGCGUAGGCAACCUACCCCUGUAUUUGGGAUAACAGUGCGAAAGCGCUGCUAAUACCGGAUACGAUGCAUUCACGGGAGUGAAUGGAUGAAAGUCAGCCACUCGGAGAAGCUGACGUACGGGGAUGGGCCUGCGUCCUAUCAGCUAGUUGGUGAGGUAACGGCUCACCAAGGCGACGACGGGUAGCUGGUCUGAGAGGAUGAUCAGCCACACUGGCACUGGAACACGGGCCAGACUCCUACGGGAGGCAG